AUACGGAGGGGGCUAGCGUUGUUCGGAAUUACUGGGCGUAAAGCGUACGCAGGCGGAUAUUUAAGUUAGAGGUGAAAUCCCAGGGCUCAACCCUGGAACUGCCUUUAAAACUGGGUAUCUAGAGUUAUGGAGAGGUAAGUGGAAUUCCUAGUGUAGAGGUGAAAUUCGUAGAUAUUAGGAGGAACACCAGAGGCGAAGGCGGCUUACUGGACAUAUACUGACGCUGAGGUACGAAAGUGUGGGGAGCGAACGGGAUUAGAAACCCCAGUAGUCC
Molecule: ribosomal RNA, 274 nt
Filed under: uncultured bacterium
Lineage: Bacteria
Description: partial 16S ribosomal RNA
Rfam family: Bacterial small subunit ribosomal RNA
Source: RNAcentral